RNAcentral lists this ribosomal RNA (497 nucleotides) under uncultured bacterium. RNAcentral's name for it is "partial 16S ribosomal RNA". It matches the Rfam family "Bacterial small subunit ribosomal RNA", at positions 28 to 507 of the family's 1533-position model. The record is from RNAcentral.
GACGAACGCUGGCGGCGUGCCUAAUACAUGCAAGUUGAGCGCUGAAGGUUGGUACUUGUACCAACUGGAUGAGCAGCGAACGGGUGAGUAACGCGUGGGGAAUCUGCCUUUGAGCGGGGGACAACAUUUGGAAACGAAUGCUAAUACCGCAUAAAAACUUUAAACACAAGUUUUAAGUUUGAAAGAUGCAAUUGCAGCACUCAAAGAUGAUCCCGCGUUGUAUUAGCUAGUUGGUGAGGUAAAGGCUCACCAAGGCGAUGAUACAUAGCCGACCUGAGAGGGUGAUCGGCCACAUUGGGACUGAGACACGGCCCAAACUCCUACGGGAGGCAGCAGUAGGGAAUCUUCGGCAAUGGACGAAAGUCUGACCGAGCAACGCCGCGUGAGUGAAGAAGGUUUUCGGAUCGUAAAACUCUGUUGGUAGAGAAGAACGUUGGUGAGAGUGGAAAGCUCAUCAAGUGACGGUAACUACCCAGAAAGGGACGGCUAACUACGUG